RNAcentral lists this ribosomal RNA (274 nucleotides) under uncultured bacterium. RNAcentral's name for it is "partial 16S ribosomal RNA". It matches the Rfam family "Bacterial small subunit ribosomal RNA", at positions 523 to 796 of the family's 1533-position model. The record is from RNAcentral.
AUACAGAGGGUGCAAGCGUUAAUCGGAAUUACUGGGCGUAAAGGGUGCGUAGGUGGUGAGAUAAGUUGGAUGUGAAAUCCCCGGGCUUAACCUGGGAAGGUCAUCCAAAACUAUUUGACUAGAGUAUGGUAGAGGGAAGUGGAAUUUCCGGUGUAGCGGUGAAAUGCGUAGAUAUCGGAAGGAACAUCAGUGGCGAAGGCGACUUCCUGGACUAAUACUGACACUGAGGCACGAAAGCGUGGGGAGCAAACAGGAUUAGAUACCCCAGUAGUCC